AGAGUUUGAUCCUGGCUCAGGACGAACGCUGGCGGCGUGCCUAAUACAUGCAAGUCGAGCGGAGCACUUCGGUGCUUAGCGGCGGACGGGUGAGUAACACGUAGGCAACCUGCCUGUAAGACCGGGAUAACUACCGGAAACGGUAGCUAAGACCGGAUAAUUGGUAUCUUUGCAUGGAGAGAUCAUGAAACACGGCGCAA
RNAcentral lists this ribosomal RNA (200 nucleotides) under uncultured bacterium. RNAcentral's name for it is "partial 16S ribosomal RNA". It matches the Rfam family "Bacterial small subunit ribosomal RNA", at positions 8 to 213 of the family's 1533-position model. The record is from RNAcentral.